AGCACCCAAAGUGAGCAAAAGAAUAGAGUGACACAAUGACAUAGAUCGAGUGGCAUUCGAUAAAGCUAAUGUGAAAUGACACUAGAGUUAGUGUGAUGUAAAGAACUAAAGUGAUGUAAAGAAUGAAGAAAGUGACAAAGUGUAAAGUUAAAGUAAAGUGGGCAAUAAGAACAAGAAUGCUAGAGUUAGCAAGAGUAAUGAAAAUGUAAAGAAUGUGAUUGCAUGAGCUUGCAACAUAAAGUGAUGUAAAGAACACUAGAGCUAGUGUAAAGUCAAGAUUGAACUUAUAAUCCUUUAAGUUAAGGAUAUGAUCAUACUUGCUAUGAGUUCCGUGCUCGAGGGCGGUCGCUCCCCCUCGGGCGAUGCGCUCCGGAGUUAUGCAUCCGGGUUGGAGUAAACCCGAAAGGACGGUCCUAGCUGGUGAGUUCCUGCGAUGAUGGACUUAAUGUGAAGCAAGUUAAUGUGGCGAAGCCCCCGGGCUAGCCUUAAUGAUUAAAGAGCAAAGAGUAAAGAACAAAGAGUAAAGAACAAAGUGUAAAGUGCAAAGAACUAAAGAACAUGCAUAACUUCCAUUUAUUUAAUGUUGAGCAUAUUUCUUGCUUUUGUUCAGGCAUAUUAGCAUCAUGUUAUAGAUUGGUUACUGUAUCUUACUUAUCCUUUCUAUUAUGCCUGAGUUAGUCCUAGUGGGAAAGUCGGUGAUGUUGAGGCCGAACCCACUGGGAACUUUGUUGUAGUUCUCACCCCACUAUUUCCACAGAGCCGGGACCGAGCGAGCCGGCGAGCGACCGAGGUAAAGGAAUCGCGCCUUAGUCAGAGGCCACCGAUGUUGGGUUUCGUUUUGUAGUAAAGUACCCUAUGUUCAUCUUUUGUACUUGAUGAUUAGUAAUGUAAGGAAGAGAAUGUAAAGCUCAUUUUGAGGUAAAUGUAAUGUAAGAAAGAAACGAUGAAAUGAUGUAAUGAAUGUAAGAAUUCGAUAAAUUACUAGAUGGAUGCAAUGUAUAUGAUCUAAAAUGAAUCAUAAUACUUGUG
RNAcentral lists this long non-coding RNA (1029 nucleotides) under Ananas comosus (pineapple). Its description in RNAcentral is "long non-coding RNA (ACOM_LNC041590)". The record is from RNAcentral. Lineage: Eukaryota; Viridiplantae; Streptophyta; Magnoliopsida; Poales; Bromeliaceae.